UACAGAGGGUGCUAGCGUUGUUCGGAAUUAUUGGGCGUAAAGGGCGCGUAGGCGCCCUGUGUGUCGGGUGUGAAAGCCCACCUCUUAAAGGUGGAAUUGCAUUCGAAACUACAGGGCUGGAGUGUCGGAGAGGAUGGCGGAAUUCCUGGUGUAGAGGUGAAAUUCGUAGAUAUCAGGAGGAACACCGAUGGCGAAGGCAGAUCUCUGGGCCGUAACUGACGCUGAGGAGGCGAAAGCAUGGGGAGCCGAACAGG
This 254-nucleotide ribosomal RNA is filed under the name uncultured bacterium. RNAcentral describes it as "partial 16S ribosomal RNA". It matches the Rfam family "Bacterial small subunit ribosomal RNA", at positions 524 to 776 of the family's 1533-position model. The record is from RNAcentral.